CAGAAAUGUUUGUCCCUUGUCAACAAAGUUUACUGGCCAUCAUCAACUAUGUGGUGAGACUUAUCAACCAGGCUGGCAGACAGUCAGAUGCCGAAACUGCUAUUCUGGGGGCUCAAAACUGCUUACUCUUCCUGUGGACCAGGUCACUUGAAGACGCUCAGUGUGGUGUUAUCCUGUUUCCUAAUGCAAGGCGGCAGCGAGCCCUAGAUUCCAAGCAGCCAUAUGACCUCAAGGGAGAACAGUCAACCUCAGCAAUAUCACUCGGGGAGGCAAAGCAGUCCAUCGGUCACACUGACAACUAGCUGUUAUGCCCUGCCUGCUCUGAUGUGUCUCCACCUUGUAAACAUACAAGCUUGGGGAGAACGGACGGGGUGAGCAACGGACACAUAUCAUCCUGUAAACUGAGGACAGGAUCCAGCGCGUGACUGAGAAACUCCACAUUUGCUGUACUCUUGAGCCACGCUGCGGGUAAGCCACAAUUUCUGCACUUCGUUUUUCUUGACGUCCAGCCACAAUGAGUGCUCAGAGUUCUAAGAGGGAUCUUAGGACCCUGAGAUCUUAGGGUGUUGAUGCACUCCGUUCCAUCAC
RNAcentral lists this long non-coding RNA (588 nucleotides) under Mus musculus (house mouse). RNAcentral's name for it is "alncRNA-EC39". The record is from RNAcentral. Lineage: Eukaryota; Metazoa; Chordata; Mammalia; Rodentia; Muridae.